AAGUCGUAACAAGGUUUCCAACCUGCGGAACCUGCUCUCCUUGAAGGCAAUCCCUGGUACCGAGCUGCUUGCAGAUAACCAAGUCUGGGUCGAGAGGCCCCCUCUAUAUUAACCCCAAUUUACGUAAAGGGGAUGCGGAAACGCUCCUCAAAAAAAAAUCGAACAACUGUUAACAAUGGGUAUCUUGGUUCUC
Molecule: unclassified non-coding RNA, 193 nt
Filed under: fungal sp.
Lineage: Eukaryota; Fungi
Description: partial internal transcribed spacer region
Source: RNAcentral